RNAcentral lists this ribosomal RNA (253 nucleotides) under uncultured bacterium. RNAcentral's name for it is "partial 16S ribosomal RNA". It matches the Rfam family "Bacterial small subunit ribosomal RNA", at positions 524 to 776 of the family's 1533-position model. The record is from RNAcentral.
UACGUAGGGGGCAAGCGUUGUCCGGAUUUAUUGGGCGUAAAGAGCGUGUAGGCGGCCAGGUAGGUCUGCUGUGAAAACUCGAGGCUCAACCUCGAGAUGUCGGCGGAAACCAUCUGGCUAGAGUCCGGAAGAGGAGAAUGGAAUUCCCGGUGUAGCGGUGAAAUGCGCAGAUAUCGGGAAGAACACCCGUGGCGAAGGCGGUUCUCUGGGACGGUACUGACGCUGAGACGCGAAAGCGUGGGGAGCGAUCCGG